UACGAAGGGGACUAGCGUUGUUCGGAAUUACUGGGCGUAAAGCGCACGUAGGCGGACUACUAAGUCAGGGGUGAAAUCCUGGAGCUCAACUCCAGAACUGCCUUUGAUACUGAGGAUCUUGAGUACGGGAGAGGUGAGUGGAACUGCGAGUGUAGAGGUGAAAUUCGUAGAUAUUCGCAAGAACACCAGUGGCGAAGGCGGCUCACUGGCCCGUAACUGACGCUGAGGCACGAAAGCGUGGGGAGCAAACAGG
RNAcentral lists this ribosomal RNA (253 nucleotides) under uncultured bacterium. RNAcentral describes it as "partial 16S ribosomal RNA". It matches the Rfam family "Bacterial small subunit ribosomal RNA", at positions 524 to 776 of the family's 1533-position model. The record is from RNAcentral.